Molecule: ribosomal RNA, 245 nt
Filed under: uncultured bacterium
Lineage: Bacteria
Description: partial small subunit ribosomal RNA
Rfam family: Bacterial small subunit ribosomal RNA
Source: RNAcentral
AGAAUCAACGCUGGCGGCGUGCCUAACACAUGCAAGUCGCACGAGAAAGGGUAGCAAUACCUGAGUGCAGUGGCGCACGGGUGAGUAACACGUGACUAACCUACCUCCGAGUGGGGAAUAACUGAGAGAAAUCUUAGCUAAUACCGCAUAACACUUACGAGUCAAAGCAGCAAUGCGCUUGGAGAGGGGGUCGCGGCAGAUUAGUUAGUUGGCGGGGUAAUGGCCCACCAAGACGAUGAUCUGUA